This 1437-nucleotide ribosomal RNA is filed under the name Triticum aestivum (bread wheat). RNAcentral's name for it is "partial small subunit ribosomal RNA". Lineage: Eukaryota; Viridiplantae; Streptophyta; Magnoliopsida; Poales; Poaceae. The record is from RNAcentral.
CUUCAGAUAACAGACUCAUCCAAACGACCACUCAAGGUAACAAACCCUACCCCCAUCCCUGCCCCCGCGUCGCUCCUCUCGGGGCGACUCGGGAGGCGGCGAACCCUAACCGCCGCGUUCCCCUCCCCUGCUCCUCCCCCCUCGCCGCUGCCAGAGGAGGUCUCCGGCGAAGCCCGCGCGCCUACCAAUGAUGGUGGCGGCGAGGAUCUGGCCGCUCCGGCUCUGCUAGGAGGGCUUCGGCUCACGAGGCGGCGGCCUCGGAUGGUGCGGCGGUGUUGGUUUGGCGGCAACCAAUGCUCGAUUGGUGGUGCUCUCCCUCCUCCUCGGCCGUGUGGACGGCGUGGCGGCGGGCGUUGGGCGCAGGUUGCACUCUCCUCUUCUUCUCAUCCUCUCCCCCCAUCAGACCUGGCCCCUGGCGGCCGCUGGUCGCCGGAUCCACUGUCGACGGGGCUGCUGGAGGGGUGGUAGCGGACCGGGAGAAAUCCCUGGCUGGAUUCCCGGCCACGACGACGGCGACACCUCCUGGUGUCGUCUUCCUCCUUGGAGGCGCCGUCGAGGGGCGAUGGGUGUGGUGUCAAGUGUGUGGCGGCUUUGCAGGAGGAGUUGGCGCCAUGGUCUUCUUGUUGGGGCAAUGCUCUGCUAUUUGGUUGUUCGUUGCCUGUCUUGUGGCUGUUUGUUCGCUGGCUCUCAGUGCCAUGGCAUGGACAGGGUGAAGAUAGGGUUCUUUCCCCGUUGGCAGCAACAGGGCAUGGAAGGCUUGAACUUGGUGCUGAUUCCAGCGGGUGCUGUCCUGCUAUCUGCAUUGGCUGCCUUGGCUCCCCUGCUUGCAAGUUCUUCUUCAACCUCGCUCAACAGCAGCUUCUCUUCCUUGGGUGUGGAUUACUGUGUCUUGAAGAGACUCUUCGUUUGGUGUUCUUAGCGCAGCAGGUGGGUCGUGCUGAGAAUCUCCCAUGGUGACCUGGAAGCUUGUACCAAUCCUUGCUCAGGGGAGCAUUGCCACUUGCCAACGGUACGGCGCCCUUCGAUCCAGGGCGAGGGGCAGGGGUCCCCUUCGGAAGUGGAGAGGGUCAAUACGAGAACGGCGUUCACCUAUCGAAGUAGAUGAGGGCAUGUCCAUCUUUGCUGGGCUGUAACUCCCCCUGAAGUUUGCUCUCUGUCAGGGUUAUGGUGCUCCACUCGCGCAUUGAAGGGCUUCGGCAAUAUCAAGCUAGUCUGUACUGUUUAUUUCCUGUUUGCUUGUUCGUGUUGGGGCUAGUAGGUUGUUUCGGGCAUCACCUUGUAUCUGCCGUCUUUUUUUUGUUUUCCUUUUUUUGCUUGUUUGCUAUGCUUCGUUGUAAUUGCGGGUGUUUGUAUCUCCUGGCCGGUUGUUGGCUUUGUUAAUUCAAAGCCGGGCUCUUCUUGAGCCUUCGUUCUAAUAAAAAAAAGGUAACAAACCCU